UCAAGUCACACAGGCAGAAUUGGAAUCAAAGCAAACCGCUGGAUGAAAAUUAAUAAACACGCAGCAUUUUUGGCAUAAUCAGGCGGCAUAAUCCGAAACUUCUAAUUGAAUUAGUCAGGGAAAACGAGAGUGGAGCGGAGGCACUGGUGGUUAUGAUUAGUCUGCUGAUUAGACACGAAAUUUGUCAAUUAUUAAUUAAACUAAUGAAGUGUCUGUAGGUCUCUCCUACGGACUCAUUAGCAAAGUUAAAAGAGAGGCGCACUGACUGGGGCCUUGCUGAGAUAAUUUGUUGUUAAUGGAAGUGGUAAUUUCCCUCGCACUUUCCCGGCGCCCGCGGAAAACUCCGCCCCUGCACUUCAUCAGCGAGUUAGUGGCCAAGUUGAAGUUGCUGACUGCAAGUCAUAGUCCAGCAUUAGCAACCUCUUAUGCACCGCAAAUGGCGUGAAAUUAUGUCUGAGCCACCGCAACCACUUUGUAAUUAACUGCCCCCUGGAGUGUCGCCAGCUGCCUAAUGACUCUGCCCAUAAACCCGCACCACUCCGCAAUCCGCUUCACUCCGCAAUCCGCACCAUUGACGGCCGGCGAAAGAAGUGGAAAUGUGGCGGCAGUCUAGAGAACUUUAGCAGCCGCAAUCUUGAGAAACUGGAGCACGGUCUUCGACUGGGAAACCUUUACCCCAUCCAACCAUCCCUCAAUCCCUCCAUCCAUCUCCUCUUGCGCAAUCUCCUCCUGCAAAUUAUAGUAAAUUGCGCGAUUCUCUCGUGGCUACCUCUUAUGAAAGGUCUAAGCAGCGGGUUCAGGUGUCCCAGCACUCCAACAAAUUGUGGCUUUUUUCGGCGACAAAGAACUAACUAGAUGUAUACUUAAAGUAAUGUAUUUGUUCAUUGAGCAAAAGGCAAGAGUUGAACUCAUUUGCUGCAUAAUAGUAUGGCAUCCUUACAUCUUAAGUGUAUUGAUAGCUACUAUUAUGUUUUUAAGACAA
This is a long non-coding RNA of Drosophila teissieri, 982 nucleotides long. RefSeq lists it as uncharacterized. The transcript has 2 exons. NCBI's taxonomy places the organism in Eukaryota, Metazoa, Arthropoda, Insecta, Diptera, Drosophilidae. The record is from RefSeq and is a predicted model, not a curated record.